RNAcentral lists this transfer RNA (68 nucleotides) under bovine gut metagenome. It matches the Rfam family "tRNA". Rfam says of the family: Transfer RNA (tRNA) molecules are approximately 80 nucleotides in length. Their secondary structure includes four short double-helical elements and three loops (D, anti-codon, and T loops). The record is from RNAcentral.
CAGGUAUAGUUCAUUGGUAGAAUGCGAGCUUCCCAAGCUUGAGAGGCGGGUUCGAUUCCCGUUACCUG